Molecule: ribosomal RNA, 500 nt
Filed under: uncultured Myrionecta
Lineage: Eukaryota; Ciliophora; Litostomatea; Cyclotrichida; Mesodiniidae
Description: bacterial SSU rRNA
Rfam family: Eukaryotic small subunit ribosomal RNA
Source: RNAcentral
ACUUACCAGGUCAAGACAUGGGCGUGAUUGACAGGCUAAUGACUUUUCUCGAUUCCAUGGAUGGUGGUGCAUGGUCGCACUUAGUUGGUGCAGUGAUUUGUCAGGUUUAUUCCGGUAACGAACGAGACCUCGGCCUUGUAAAUAGCUAUGCUGCUUACAGGGACAUUGGCGGCUACGCCAAGGAAGCUCGAGGCAAUUGCAGAUCUGGAAUGCCCUUAGAUGUCCUGGGUCGCACGCGUGCUACAAUGACGCCACGAACGAGCUUGCGUGAUGAAAGUUACGCAUAAUCAGCAGUCGGCGUCUUAAGGGAUAGUCUCUUGUAACUGUGGGACUCCAACUAGGAAUGUCUCGUAAGCACAAGUCAACAUCUUGUGUUGAUUACGUCCCUGCUCUUUGUACACACCGCCCGUCGCUCCUACCGAUCGAGUGUUUAGGUGAAUUUGAUGGACGUAAGGAAGUCAAAUAAACCUGAGCACUAGAGAAGGAGAAGUCGAUCAUGC